CAUUAUUACAUGAAAUGCCUCCAUCUUUUUCUCCGUUGUACCUGCACGGGAAUUCCUUCCUGCUGUAUGUCUAGUUACCAGGUUUACUAGUGCCCUCAUUUUGCUUUACAUUGCAAAACUUUAGUCCUUUUGUCCAAAUAACAGUGUAUCUUCUGCAUGUGUAACCUCAAAACUUAGAUAAAUUUAUUGUGGGCAUAUGUUGUGAUGCUCGAUAUUAUGUUUUGCUCAUUGGCAACUUUUCUUUUUGUGCUUUGAUGGUCAUUACAAAUGUUGUAUUACUAGCCUGUUUGAUAGUUCAUAGUUCAUUGGUUUCAUUCUUUUCUUCUAUCUAAGGCAGUCACGUGAACUUCCAUGCACGUAUACGUAUCGAUCAAUUGGUGUUAAUAAGCAUGACACCAUCUCAUACAUAUGAAAAGCAAGCUCAUUCUCUCUUCAGCUUAAUUUCUACAUACUUUUGGGAUGGGAUUUUGCUCAUCUCACCAUAUCAAAGUAACCAUGUCCUUUCGUUGGCCUAUGCCGGUCCAUUUCCUCUUCAGCAUCUGAUUUCCACCUCCUUUCUCAUGUUUGUGUUCUACCAACUAAAUGAUGGCAUAUGCUGUUUACCUGGUUAUAUGUGCCUCUGGAUCCUUUUCUGUCACAUAACUGCCCUCAGAUUGAUAUACUGUUGUGAUUAGGAAUGAAAUUUUUGAAAAAUUGGGAUUUAUAAUAUAAAGUCAAUAAAAAAUCCAUGUUAUCCGGAUUUUCCUCCAGCCAAGUAGGGUGUCUGAUUUUUUUUCCCCAUGAGGUUACAUGAGAAUGCAUUAAACAUAUGAUGAUCAG
Molecule: long non-coding RNA, 819 nt
Filed under: Phoenix dactylifera (date palm)
Lineage: Eukaryota; Viridiplantae; Streptophyta; Magnoliopsida; Arecales; Arecaceae
Description: long non-coding RNA (PDAC_LNC017916)
Source: RNAcentral